Molecule: small RNA, 28 nt
Filed under: Bombyx mori (domestic silkworm)
Lineage: Eukaryota; Metazoa; Arthropoda; Insecta; Lepidoptera; Bombycidae
Description: ovarian small RNA-36734
Source: RNAcentral
UUAGGGCAUUGGUUACUUCUGCCGCAUA